AAAAGCACAGUGGUACAGUGAAAAGCAAAAAAUUGUUUUUUUAGACAGUUUUAGAGUAUAAGAUUUAACUCUCAUCGAAGAGUUGGAUUACAUUUGACCUACUUGUAGAUGAUGGAGUGAACACUCCGCGACAGUCGGGGGUUCAAGUUUUGCAGUUGUUUGUAAAACUUCAAAAGGUGUUGAAUGCGUUAGACUAACUCGAUGGAAAUUAAAAUCAUGAGAUUUUAAUGCAGCAGUCGUACUUUUAUAAGCUCAUUUGAAAGGCGCUUAGUGGCAAGUGUUCGUUCCAUCACGGCGCGAAUCAAACCCAAACCUAGGUACCUAGGUACGACACGACGUGGAGGUAUCAUUUUACUUUUCAAUGGUUGGUGAAGCAGAUAGACGAAUUAGUGGCGCAAACAUAUGCGGUGCGAUAAAGCCUUUCUCUGUGUGGAAAACCACUUUUCUCCAUUUGCGCCACAGUCACACAGCAAAUGGAAGCCAGGCGGGAGAGAGUUCCUCCGAUUCCUUGCAGGCGACCGAAAGCAAAAGCAACGGUGCAGCGGGAAUGUCGCACCUUCGAACGUUGAACGCCACAAUUCCGUGGAGGCUGGUAUUAAUUAAAAUGUAAUUUAGUUUACAUUUUGCCGUAAUACUGGCUGGCGUGGAACAUGCUGUGCAAAUACACACGUUCCACGGGGACACUUCCGGAAUUGAAGAUAUCGUGGAUGGUGUGUGCACCGGUUGGCGCAAUGCACGACUUAGGGAACAGGGUCCGACUGCUGUUGCUAACGUUUAAAUAAAUAUUUCAGGAAUAUUUCUGGAUAGUAAACAGAGAGUACGUAUGCUUGCGAUGUAAUGAUGGCUGAGAAAUUUCAUUUGGACCUCAAGUACUACGAUAUGCAUUUCUUAAAUUAAAAUAUUAAUCAGGUAUAUGAACACUUUACCACAGAAAACUAAUUACAACAGAUCAUAAUUGCUGUUUUUCUUUCAAUUUGUGUUUCACAAACACGUUUGUUUCUAUCCUACAUUUCAUCAGCCUUGGGCAGUUUUUGACGAGGGACUACGUCUAACCGGAGUAUCUUCUUUCUUCUUCUUAUAUGGCACUAACGUUCCUAGAGGAACUCCGCAAUAACACGCCUUGAAUGCAUUCUGAGUGGCAAGCUCUAGAAUACGCGUGACCACAGUGCAAGUCAGAGGAAAUUUCUUUGAAGAAAAAUUUCCCCGACCAGAACGGGAAUCGAACCCGAACCCCCGGCAUGCUAGGUUUGACGCUAACCACUCGGCCACGGGAGCACUACCGGAGUAUAUGGGGGGUAAAAUGAAAACCUAAACACAGAACAUGCAGGAAAAAAAUUAAAGAUUCCGAAUUCUUAUAACUCGAACUUUUCUUACAGGAUCCGAAAGAUGUUUGCAUCUAUCGCGAUAAAUAAAAUGUUAUUUUUCAUUGGAUAAACAAUUGAAUAAUUGUAAAAUGUUAAGCGUUCUAACUACCUCGUUUUUAUUGGUCCGAUUUACGGUUUCCCCAACACAGCCAUCAUAACCAAGCAGCCUUGGGGAAAUCGGCAAUGCAAAUACAUGAAAGUAUGGGGAUUUUUGUUCUCACCGAAUUGUGUUCCCUAACACAGACUUAAAAACCGAGCAGUGUUGGAGAAAUUAGCAUUGCAAAUACAUGAAAGUCGGGGUUAUUUUUAUCCGACUGAAAUGUGUUUCCCCAACACAGACUUCAGAACCAAGCUGUCUGAGGAAAUUGGCAUUGCAAAUUCAUGCAGGUCUGGGGUAUUUUUGUUUCGACUGAAAUGUGUUUACCUAAUACAGACUUCUAAACCAAGGUGUAUGGGAAAAUCGGCAUUGCAAAUAAAUUCAAACUGCGAGUACAUUCGAACUUGCUUGCCUUUAUGCAAACUAGAAUAUGUUUCCUUAACAUGGUCUUCUAAACUUGGAAACAUGGGAAAAUCUUGCAGACAUUAGAGGCGAAUGAACUUUCAAGUUUGAAGGCUCUAUGAUAUAAAAAGUAUAAGUUGAAGUUGUUGCUUCAUGCAAGUCGGGGGUACUUUUGCACCCGCAUGUUUUUUUGCACUCCGAAAAUUGUUUUCCUAACACGGAUUACAAAAACGGUUCGAGAAGUACGUACACUUGAGAGAUGCAAAAUUCAGAUGGAAAUGUAAAAUAAAAUAAUCGUUUGUGAUUCUUCCGUUCACAUAUUUUGUCCUAGGCAUCAUACCAAACGUAAAGGGACUGUUCGUUAAGCCUCCAAAGCGCAACAGAAAAAUAAGAAUACAUGUAACACUUAUGUUCGCCCAAUGACGGGUAUAAAAGGCAGCAUCGUCAGCUAAGAAAGUCCAUUCUUUGUGUGGACACCGACUGGACAACAUCGUUGCUGGACGAGCUGGACGGCGAGGGAUCGAGUGCCUUUCUCAUGGCAAGAGGGCGGAGGUGGUAGCGCUGGAGUAGAGUAGAGUAGAGUUUUGACGUAGGAUUACGUCUUUCGGGAACAUAUUGGGGUACAAAUUGAAAAUCGAGAAUCGAGCACAUCGCGAAAAUUGUCCAAUUUCAAACGCUUAUUGCUCAGUCAUUUCAUGAUGGAUUGAUGAAAUUUUUGCGUCAAUCGAUUUCGGCACUCCAUAACAAUUUUUUAUAUUGAAUAAAAUAAUAUAUAUCAUUAAACUAACUAUCGAACAAUUGAAAAAUCUCAACCCCUAUCCUAACGGAAAUACCCACUUCUGAUUGGUCGAAAUUGACGACACAUGCGGCGGUUCCCUAACAGAGACAUCAAAACCAAGCUGCCUAAGGGAAAUCGGCAUUGCAAAUACAUGAAGUAGGGGGAGCUUUUGCUCCCGCCGAGAUGUGUUCCCAAACAGAGACAUCAAAAUCAAGCUGCCUGAUGGAAAUCGGCAUUGCAAAUACAUAAAAGUCGGGGGCAUUUUUAUAUUGCAAGUAAGAAGAGUGAUACGAAUAAUUCUAGCAAAUAAAAUUUAAAUUUGGAACUUUAAUGUUGGUUGCUUCGUGAAACUCCAUAUCAAUGUCCGAUCGUGUAUUGUGAAAAAUUUAGCACAAGGGUAGGUGUAAAAUUGUAUACGAUAGCCGUUGUGUUAACCCUUUCCCGUACA
Long non-coding RNA from Toxorhynchites rutilus septentrionalis, 3089 nucleotides. RefSeq lists it as uncharacterized. Lineage: Eukaryota; Metazoa; Arthropoda; Insecta; Diptera; Culicidae. The record is from RefSeq and is a predicted model, not a curated record. The transcript has 3 exons.